UGGCCAAAAAAGCAGUGUGAGGUCACUUGGCUCAAGCCAAGUGAGGGCGUUUUUCCAGCUUGCUGGCACCCCUGAUUAUUCAGGAAGGUGAUCCCCAUUAGUUCAACUUUUAGCCACCCCGCCGCGCUGCUUUUUUGCC
This 139-nucleotide non-coding RNA is filed under the name unclassified sequences. RNAcentral's name for it is "EFASI RNA". It matches the Rfam family "EFASI RNA". The record is from Rfam by way of RNAcentral.